UGGAGAUUUGUAGUAGUAUGGUGGUGAGACGUAAUGUGGGGGUGGUGGUGGAGAUUUGUAGUAGUAAGGUGGUGGAGGAGAUGGUGAAGGUGGUGGUGGAGACUUGUAGUAGUAAGGUGGUGGUGGUGAGGGUGAUGGAGGUGGUGGAGACUUGUAGUAGUAUGGGGGUUGUUCUUCAUGCUUUGGUGGUGGUGGUGGGGACUUGUAGUAGUAAGGAGGUGGUGGAGAUGGUGAAGGUGGUGGUGGAGAUUUAUAGUAGUAAGGUGGUGGUGGUGAGGGUGAUGGAGGUGGUGGAGACUUGUAGUAGUAUGGGGGUUGUUCUUCAUGCUUUGGUGGUGGUGGUGGAGAUUUGUAGUAGUAUGGAGGAGGUGGUGAUGGAGACGGAGGUGGUGGGGACUUGUAGUAGUAAGGAGGAGGUGGUGAUGGAGAUGGAGGAGGAGGUGACUUGUAGUAGUAUGGUGGUUGUUCUUCAUGCUUUGGUGGUGGUGGUGGGGACUUGUAGUAGUAUGGAG
This 512-nucleotide long non-coding RNA is filed under the name Gossypium barbadense (sea-island cotton). RNAcentral describes it as "long non-coding RNA (GBAR_LNC023459)". Lineage: Eukaryota; Viridiplantae; Streptophyta; Magnoliopsida; Malvales; Malvaceae. The record is from RNAcentral.